This is a long non-coding RNA of Oncorhynchus tshawytscha (Chinook salmon), 712 nucleotides long. RefSeq lists it as uncharacterized. The record is from RefSeq and is a predicted model, not a curated record. The transcript is spliced from 6 exons. Lineage: Eukaryota; Metazoa; Chordata; Actinopteri; Salmoniformes; Salmonidae.
CUCAUUGGUUCGUUCCAGCCCUGUGUUUGGCCUGGGUCCAGCAGGUUCUUGAGCAGGCUCCUCUACUAUGUUACCAGGCCUUCUUCAGAGGAGCUGUGAUGAUCUCCAUCCAGGACAUCCUGAGGCCCUCCUCAGACCUUCCCUGUUGUUUCCGCCCACCACUGGGUGAAGUGGGUCCAUAGCAGGUGGGAUGCUGGGAGGGAGCUGAAAAGAGACUUCCUGAUUAAGAACGAGGGGCACAAACAUGGACAGAUGUUUUCCAAACCCUAUCUGGCCCAAACCUUCCAGCUACCAUCAACCCCUCCCAUCUACCAUUCAGAACAGAGGCGUGAUGAGUCUGGAGGAUCUGUGACCAUGACAACGAGGAGUUCAAACAAAUCCACACGGACUACAAGGGGGUGAAGCUAUGGAAAAUCUCUCAUGGCAGGACUCAUGGCCCUCAAUAUACUGGAGAACUUUCCCAUCAAAGGAAUCAAAAAGAAAUGACCACACAAGGCCACCUGUUAGUCUCAGUGAGGAUCUUGGGUUGACCCAUCUCGGCGUUCCACAACAAACAGCCAACACUGGGUCUGCUCCAGAACCGUUGCAACAUGGUGUAUCCGGAGGCAGAGUAUGUGAGUGGAGUGGAGCAAGAAGUGGAGUGGAGCAAGAAGUGGAGCUGGAGCGGAGCAGGGACUGGAGCUGGAGCGGAGCAGGGAGUGGAGCUGGAGCG